CUACGGGGCGCAGCAGUGAGGAAUAUUGCACAAUGGGGGGAACCCUGAUGCAGCAACGCCGCGUGGAGGAUGACGCAUUUCGGUGUGUAAACUCCUUUUAUAUGUCAAGAAAAUGACGGUAGCAUAUGAAUAAGCACCGGCUAACUCCGUGCCAGCAGCCGCGGUAAUACGGAGGGUGCAAGCGUUACCCGGAAUCACUGGGCGUAAAGGACGCGUAGGCGGGUUGGAAAGUCAGGUGUGAAAUCCUACAGCUUAACUGUAGAACUGCACUUGAAACUUCUAAUCUAGAGUAUGGGAGGGGGAGAUGGAAUUAGUGGUGUAGGGGUAAUAUCCGUAGAUAUCACUAGGAAUACCUAAAGCGAAGGCGAUCUCCUGGAACAUUACUGACGCUAAGGCGUGAAAGCGUGGGGAGCAAACAGGAUUAGAUACCCCUGUAGUC
This 439-nucleotide ribosomal RNA is filed under the name uncultured bacterium. Its description in RNAcentral is "partial 16S ribosomal RNA". It matches the Rfam family "Bacterial small subunit ribosomal RNA", at positions 339 to 795 of the family's 1533-position model. The record is from RNAcentral.